Bubalus bubalis (water buffalo) is the source of this 636-nucleotide long non-coding RNA. RefSeq lists it as uncharacterized. The record is from RefSeq and is a predicted model, not a curated record. Lineage: Eukaryota; Metazoa; Chordata; Mammalia; Artiodactyla; Bovidae. The transcript has 3 exons.
CCCUUCCAGUCUCCUGCCUGUCCCCUCUCCUCUCCCUGAAGACCACUUUCUAGGUACAUCCAUCAGCUUGCCAGGCCCCCAAGACAGCCACUGCAGACGCUAAGUCUCCAUGGCCUGCACACUGGCUGCAGUCCCUCUCAUUUUCAUAAUUUCAAGCUACAGAAAAGAACCGAGCCAUAAAAGACCUAAGUCCCCAGACAGCACGGAGCCAGGAGCCUCCUACCCUUGCUGGAUCAUCCCAGGCCAAGAGAAGUGAAUGAUCUACUGGGACCUGGCCUUUUAGAGCAAGAAAGCCUGCGGGCAGAGAAGCCAUAACAGACCUACCCUCUACACUGAGAACCACUCUACUCACUAUCUAAUUGAGUAGAAGAAAACAAGGAUGUCAUUUGUGAGAGGAAACAUUAAGGGGAGGAACUGUGAUUGCUUGCAUAUUCAUUCAAUGGGCAUUUAUUAAACACCACAGGCCAGGAACUGAACCGGACCCAGGUAAUACAAAGCACAGAGACCGGGGAUCUACCAGAAGGUGGAAUCAGAAGCAGACUGGUGUGUCCAGCAUGAGGUUACUUUGUUACCACUGGAGCCAUGUGUGCCCCAGACACAGGGCUGCUGGGUUUACACAGUAGCCCCUUGCUCUGG